AGCUCCAAUAGCAUAUAUUAAAGUUGCUGCAGUUAAAAAGCUCGUAGUUGGAUUUCUGGGAGCAGUCGCCGGUCGGGGGCCUUUAGUGCCCUGUGUACUGAGAGUGAUCUGUGCCCAUCCUUGUGGAGAGCAUGUUCUGGGCUUUGUUGUCUGGGCAUGGGACCUGCAUCAUUUACUGUGAAAAAAUUAGAGUGUUCAAAACAGGCGUUGAGUGCCGUUGAAUAUAUUAGCAUGGAAUAAUGAGAUAGGACUUUGGCGCCUAUUUUGUUGGUCUUGCGUGCCAGGGUAAUGAUUAAGAGGGAUAGUUGGGGGUAUCCGUAUUCGGGUGUCAGAGGUGAAAUUCUUGGAUUACCGGAAGACGAACUAGUGCGAAAGCAUUUACCAUGGAUGUUUUCAUUAA
RNAcentral lists this ribosomal RNA (400 nucleotides) under phytoplankton environmental sample. Its description in RNAcentral is "partial small subunit ribosomal RNA". It matches the Rfam family "Eukaryotic small subunit ribosomal RNA", at positions 587 to 976 of the family's 1831-position model. The record is from RNAcentral.